CCUACGGGUGGCUGCAGUGGGGAAUAUUGCACAAUGGGCGCAAGCCUGAUGCAGCGACGCCGCGUGAGCGAUGAAGGCCUUCGGGUCGUAAAGCUCUGUCCUAAGGGAAGAGUAAUGACGGUACCUAAGGAGAAAGCCCCGGCUAACUACGUGCUAGCAGCCACGGUAAGACGGAGGGGGCGGGCGUUAUCCGGAAUAACUGGGCGUAAAGGGUGGGUAGGCGGCCCGGAAAGUCAGGAGUUAAAUCCCUCGGCUAAACCGAGGUCAGCGUUUGAAACUGUAGGGCUUGAGUGCAGGAGAGGAGAGCGGAAUUCCUAGUGUAGCGGUGAAAUGCGUAGAUAUUAGGAGGAACACCAGUGGCGAAGGCGGCUCUCUGGACUGCAACUGACGCUGAGGCACGAAAGCGUGGGGAGCGAACAGGAUUAGAUACCCUUGUAGUC
Molecule: ribosomal RNA, 440 nt
Filed under: uncultured bacterium
Lineage: Bacteria
Description: bacterial SSU rRNA
Rfam family: Bacterial small subunit ribosomal RNA
Source: RNAcentral